AUAAUGCUGGUAAAUAUCACAAAAAAUGGAAAAAAAGAAAAUAACAUCAUGCUGUAAAAGAUUAUAGAUACACGCUCUUUCUACCUGCCUCUCUUCUUCCCCUUGAAAAUUUUGUUGUGCGGUCUACAUUCUUUGAUGAGAGGAAAAAAAGAGGCUCAAACAUUUCAAUUCAGUAUUUCAUACCGAAAAAUAAAACCUAUAACACACACAGAAAAGGGGAGAAGUGUACAUACCUGAAUUGGCAAAAAAUCAGGCGCCAUUGAAACAUACACUGAUCACUCCAAACUUGUAGCUUCAUAUAUAUGGUUGGAAGGGGUUGCCGCCGUCGAAGAGAGAGGAUCUUUGACAUUAAGGAAGGAAAAAAAAAACAGGCUUGUGAGUAGAGAACGAUGAAAGAAAAGCCAAAAGAAACAGCAGCCGAUCGAGCGUUUUCCAGAAAAGAGAAAAGGGAAAAAAUAUUAUUACAGCUCCAUCGCAAGAGCAGAUAUGUCAACAAUUCUAUGUAAUUUACAGUACGCAGCAGAUAUAAAAUCAAAGGAGAUGCAAACAUAUAGUAAAAGUAGAAUUUAAUCAAGACAAGGAAAUUCAGGUAAGAGAGCAUAUUAAAAAACGAAUGCAUAACAGCAAGAAGAAUAGUGUCAAAUCAACCUAAACAGAAACCAAUAUCAGCCACAUCAAUAUUGACGAAACGUUACAGGGAAACACAUGGAAAAAUAAUCGAAGUAAAUGGUAAAUAUAGCAACUGAUUAGCAUUAUUAC
Molecule: long non-coding RNA, 759 nt
Filed under: Erythranthe guttata (spotted monkey flower)
Lineage: Eukaryota; Viridiplantae; Streptophyta; Magnoliopsida; Lamiales; Phrymaceae
Description: long non-coding RNA (EGUT_LNC002903)
Source: RNAcentral